RNAcentral lists this ribosomal RNA (276 nucleotides) under uncultured bacterium. Its description in RNAcentral is "partial 16S ribosomal RNA". It matches the Rfam family "Bacterial small subunit ribosomal RNA", at positions 82 to 354 of the family's 1533-position model. The record is from RNAcentral.
CUGCCGCCGGCGACCGGCGCACGGGUGAGUAACACGUAUGCAACCUGGCCGUGACAGAUGGAUAACCGGGAGAAAUCCCGCCUAAUACAACAUAAUGCCGGGAGGGGACAUCCCCUGCCGGCCAAAGGGGGCGACCCCGGUCACGGAUGGGCAUGCGGCGCAUUAGGUAGUUGGUGGGGCAACGGCCCACCAAGCCGACGAUGCGUAGGGGUUCUGAGAGGAAGGUCCCCCACAUUGGGACUGAGACACGGCCCAAACUCCUACGGAAGGCAGCAG